CCCACCCCCACGCCAGCUCGUGCUAAGAAACGACACCGACGACAACACAAGCCACGAUGAGAUACGACUGCGUCACAUUAGAACGCACAUCAGGAAGACUGAAGACUGGCCAUACCGAGUAUCCUGUCUUUUACAAAUGGAAGGUUCAGGACCUCCGCGGAGGACGUCACUGCGGACGCGGUGGAAACCGCAAGAGAACUGGGAUCAGAAGUGGAGCCUGAAGAGGGGACGGGGUCGCCGCCAUCUCAGGAUGAAACCUGGACGGACGAGGAGGAGCAAAGAAAGCGGCUUCCUGAGGUGGCAUCUCCUCCCGGUGGAGAUGUGGCACGUGGCCACCUAAAGACCCUGUUUCCGGGCCUCCCCUGCAAGCAGAUGCGGUGUGUGGCUGGUCAUCAGUGCGAUGUGACAGGCUCUGCGUCCACAGCUACGUGACACGGGGCAAUGCACUGCCCGGCGCCUUGGUCUCUUUAUCUAUAAUCGAUAAAUCAACGUUGACCUUAAAGGGCAAGAACACCGCCCGCCUUCUUGCUUCCUUCUUACUAGCUACAGACACGGGAGUGAGCCGUCUUGAACCACGGCAACCAGCCACAUCUGAGGAAGGAUAGAGCAACGAACUGGAAGCAGCCUGGGCCUGUGACACCAAGAGCCUGUCCGGGGACAGCACCAGUCACCACUAUCUUGUCUAAGCUGCUGUUUCAUUACUUUGUUUUGUUUAUUCAGCCCGUCACACAGCCUGCAUGCCACAGUGGUGGGGAGCAAAUGUCCUCGGAGGGCUAAGUGACCUCACCAAGGGCACCAGUCUCUAAGAUCUCUAAGACCCAAGGUGGGCACAGGGAGUCAUUCCUGCCCCUCCUUCCUGGCUCAGGCAUCAGGGUAGGCUCCCUUUUUGUUACAUAAAUGAGCGAAUGGAGAACAUUCCAGGCCACCGGUAUCUAAUGGCUAUCCACACCAUGCAAGGCUGAGCCAGAUUCUGUCCCUAGGACUACGAGGGCUCAGUGUGUCCCCUUCUGCGGUGCCACAGUCAUGCUGGGGAGACGGCCAGCAGGGCCACCAGGCUGGCUACACGACGGACCGGGCCCCGGACACCAAGUUCCCACCGUGCGGCCAGCCCAGGCUCCCAGAGAGUGACGCGGAUCAAAACGCGCCCCACCUUUUCCUGAAGGUUCUUAGGACAUUUUGUUAAGUGAAAAGCUGCAGGUCGGUACCCACGGCACGGCCUCCCUGUCGUUUCAACUCUGCGUCUAUCCCCAGUUCCCACGUGUAUGAAACUGCGUGAGAGAGGAGCCUGAAAUGCCACACAGCAGAGUGACAGUGUGGGGGCCCUCGGGAGGGGUGCGGUGGGGAGGGCGGUCACCACAGAGAGCCCGUCAGCUUCACCCGCACCCUUUGCAUUUCUCCGUGAGAAUGUUCUCGUGAGGAAACAUCUGCGGAGUCAAAAUGCAAACGCGUGCAAAGGGUAGAGGCUGGUAAUCUCUGUUCGAGAUGGCCGACCCUGGUUCUCAAAUGUGGACCUGCCCAGGGUUCCCUGAGGAACCUGUGGGAACCCCGACCCCACCCAGACAUACUGAAUGAGAACCACAUCUGCACUUUUCCUAGGACUCCAGAGGAAGAACAUGCCUGUGGAAGCGCCCAGUAAAUAAAGAGGUCUCCGGCGCCCCCGUGUUCACAGCAGAGGGUACAAAAACAGCCCCAGAGGGCAAAGCCUGUCCUGGGGGCCAGGGAGGAAACAGAGCUCUCUCCUGUGGAGUCUGGAAAAGCUUACAGAGAGGGUGGAAUGCAAGAAAGUAACUGUCAAAACGGCAGGGAGUUCUCAGGCUGCAGGACAGACCCAAGUGCCCCCGAGGAUCUCAUUCUCCCACCUCCCCAGUGCUCACUUGAGCCCAACUCAGGAGCAAACCCCAGCACCAUGGCAGAGCUGGGGCCGGGGCCUCUGGCACAGGGGUACCUCCCUGCGAGCUGCCGCCGCCUGGAACCGUGGCCGCCGCGGCCUAGGAACAGCCCAGUCCUCCCGCAACGGCACAGGGGCCCAGCCUGGCGGCCGCGGGAGCCCCACACCACCUCCCCAGGCUCCUGGGGUGGGAGCGCUCACAGAGGCCAACGGAGAGCACGGCCUACCGCUCUCCCCCUGGCUGCUUCAUGCCGCUGCAGAGGGCCCAGGUGAUAGGCUCCCCUUUCUCAUCUUACAGGAGACUCAGCAUCGUGCUCAGUCUCCGCCUUCUUCCAGCUCUGAGGUCAAUGUGACUUCAUUCGCCUCCUCAAAGAACCUGCUUUCAAAGUCAGCCUUUCUCCCCAGUAAAAUAUCUGAGUCUAGAAAGCAGGGAACAGGUGUCUUGGCAUGCAUGACCUUGGGGUUCAGAGAGAAGGGGCCUCCAGGGUACUGUGCCCUGCUUCAACCAGAGCGGUCCCGCCUUGCCCUGGGUUACAUGCUCCCAGCUGUCAUUCAAAUCAAGGGUUCCUCACCCCACCCCUCCCAAAAAAGGCUUUCAAAGCUGCAUAUUGAUCAGAUGAACUGUGGUCAUCUGAGAGAGAAAGAAAACCGAGCUACUAUUGGCUCAUCAUUCGUUUAACUGCCCAAAGGGCCGUGCAGGGUCCCGGGGAGGGGGGCCAGGACACCCGGAUGUGGCCCCACCAGUCGGCAGCUCA
Long non-coding RNA from Neofelis nebulosa (Clouded leopard), 2643 nucleotides. RefSeq lists it as uncharacterized. The transcript has 3 exons. The record is from RefSeq and is a predicted model, not a curated record. Lineage: Eukaryota; Metazoa; Chordata; Mammalia; Carnivora; Felidae.